This 505-nucleotide ribosomal RNA is filed under the name uncultured bacterium. RNAcentral's name for it is "bacterial SSU rRNA". It matches the Rfam family "Bacterial small subunit ribosomal RNA", at positions 28 to 528 of the family's 1533-position model. The record is from RNAcentral.
GACGAACGCUGGCGGCGUGCCUAACACAUGCAAGUCGAGCGGAGUCGAUCGACGGAAGCCUUCGGGCGGAAGAUGGUUGACUUAGCGGCGGAUGGGUGAGUAACGCGUGGGCAACCUGCCUCGAAGACCGGGAUAACAGUCCGAAAGGGCUGCUAAUACCGGAUGUGGUCAAGGAUCCGCAUGGAUUUUUGAUUAAAGGGGAAACCCGCCUUGAGAUGGGCCCGCGUCCCAUCAGCUAGUUGGUGAGGUAACAGCUCACCAAGGCGACGACGGGUAGCCGGCCUGAGAGGGUGACCGGCCACACUGGGACUGAGACACGGCCCAGACUCCUACGGGGGGCAGCAGUGGGGGAUCUUGCACAAUGGGCGAAAGCCUGAUGCAGCGACGCCGCGUGAGCGAAGAAGGCCUUCGGGUUGUAAAGCUCUGUCUGGAGGGACGAACAAAAUGACGGUACCUCCGGAGGAAGCCACGGCUAACAACGUGCCAGCAGCCCGCGGUAAAACUC